Gigantopelta aegis is the source of this 1005-nucleotide long non-coding RNA. RefSeq lists it as uncharacterized. The record is from RefSeq and is a predicted model, not a curated record. Lineage: Eukaryota; Metazoa; Mollusca; Gastropoda; Neomphalida; Peltospiridae. The transcript is spliced from 2 exons.
GGAAAAUAUAGUGGGUUUUCUCUCUAAGACUAUAUGUCAAAAUUACCAAAUGUUUGACAUCCAAUAGCCGAUGCUUACUAAAUCAAUGUGCUCUAGUGGUGUCACUAAACAAAAAAAACUUUAACAUACACACUGGGCUUUCUUAUAAACACGCACAUUCUCAAGCAUAUAUAUACUAUUUAUUUAAAUGAGAAUUUCCCCACCCACACACCUAUCUUAUACCCGACCCCAACAUAAUUUGAGAUGAGAUGUAUAUUAUACUUCUACCACCGCGUACACAUAGGGGUAACCUGGAGACAGGUGAAGGUAACUAAUUAUAGAUUUAAAUGUGAAAUUAUUGUUAUAUAUAUAUAUUUGUUGUUUAUUGUGAGGGAAACCUGGCGACGUUUUAUGUCACCAUAUUUUGAAAUAUUAUUAUUAAAGACGCAGACCCUAGUUUUUAGGAAGUGAAAUUUCUUUCUACUUUUUUUUCUAUUUUUUAAAAACUGUUUACCUUUUUUUUUUUACAAUGAACUUAAACAAUCCUUACUAUUUGUGGCAAAUCCAACGUGUUUCUGGUCACCCUGAUAUUUGUAGCAGGUAAAUAUUAAUUUUAUAUCAAACAAAUGGUACGUAUACCUCUGAUAUUUGUAGCAGGUAAAUAUUAAUUUUAUAUCAAACAAAUGGUACGUAUACCUCUGAUAUUUGUAGCAGCUAAAUAUUAAUUUUAUAUCAAACAAAUGAUACGUACAUGUGUACACCUCUGAUACUAGGAUCAGCGGCUUUAAAACAAAUUAUAUAUAUAUAACUUUUUAUUAUAUAGAUAAUUUUACCUGUUAUGUGGGUAUAUAUCUUAGUGAUUAUUAUGUAGAUAAUUUUACCUGUUAUGUGGGUAUAUAUCUUAGUGAUUAUUAUGUAGAUAAUUUUACCUGUUAUGUGGGUAUAUAUCUUAGUGAUUAUUUGAGAGCCUAAUAAUAUUAAAUGUAAAUAUAUACACCACGAGAUGGAAUAAAUAAUUUUACCUGU